GACGAACGCUGGCGGCGUGCUUAACACAUGCAAGUCGAACGAAGAGCGAUGGAAGCUUGCUUCUAUCAAUCUUAGUGGCGAACGGGUGAGUAACGCGUAAUCAACCUGCCCUUCAGAGGGGGACAACAGUUGGAAACGACUGCUAAUACCGCAUACGAUCUGACCUCGGCAUCGAGGAUGGAUGAAAGGUGGCCUCUAUUUAUAAGCUAUCACUGAAGGAGGGGAUUGCGUCUGAUUAGCUAGUUGGAGGGGUAACGGCCCACCAAGGCGAUGAUCAGUAGCCGGUCUGAGAGGAUGAACGGCCACAUUGGGACUGAGACACGGCCCAGACUCCUACGGGAGGCAGCAGUGGGGAAUCUUCCGCAAUGGACGAAAGUCUGACGGAGCAACGCCGCGUGAGUGAUGACGGCCUUCGGGUUGUAAAGCUCUGUUAAUCGGGACGAAAGGCCUUCUUGCGAAUAGUUAGAAGGAUGACGGUACCGGC
RNAcentral lists this ribosomal RNA (484 nucleotides) under Veillonella dispar. Its description in RNAcentral is "bacterial SSU rRNA". It matches the Rfam family "Bacterial small subunit ribosomal RNA", at positions 28 to 482 of the family's 1533-position model. The record is from RNAcentral. Lineage: Bacteria; Bacillati; Bacillota; Negativicutes; Veillonellales; Veillonellaceae.